RNAcentral lists this ribosomal RNA (249 nucleotides) under uncultured bacterium. RNAcentral's name for it is "partial 16S ribosomal RNA". It matches the Rfam family "Bacterial small subunit ribosomal RNA", at positions 187 to 438 of the family's 1533-position model. The record is from RNAcentral.
GCAUCCAUGAGUUUUGAAAGAAUUUCGGUGGAGGAUGACUUCUCGGCCUAUCACCUAGUGGGUGAGGUAAUGGCUCACCAAGGCAACAACGGGUAGCCGGCCUGAGAGGGCGACCGGCCACACUGGGCACUGACACACGGCCCACACUCCUACGGGAGGCAGCAGUGGGGAAUAUUGGGCAAUGGGGGAAACUCUGACCCAGCGACGCCCCGUGCGGGAUGAAGGCCUUCGGGUUGUAAACCGCUUUCU